RNAcentral lists this long non-coding RNA (22187 nucleotides) under Sorghum bicolor (sorghum). RNAcentral's name for it is "long non-coding RNA (SBIC_LNC017782)". The stretch from base 3752 to 3858 matches the Rfam family "Plant small nucleolar RNA R71". The record is from RNAcentral. Lineage: Eukaryota; Viridiplantae; Streptophyta; Magnoliopsida; Poales; Poaceae.
UUCUAAUAAGGCUUUAAUAUCUGGAGCUCAUAGGUGGGAGAUAAAAUAUACAUACUUACAAGACAUGUAUUGCAUAGUCAAACCAUGGAUCCAAAGAAACAAAUCAAUAAGUCAAAUCAAGAUGUGCAUGUCUGGCGAAUGAAUGGUGUAUGGUGAUGAUGGUGAUAACAAUGGUGAAAAUAAUGGUGAUGGAAGUCUUAUUCUUCUUUUGCUCUUUUGAGGGGAUACAUACCUUUCUUGCUUUUUGAAACUUUGUGAGGAGAAUGAGAUGCUCUAUAUUUUUUUCUUUUCUCUCAGGUGGGUAUCUUGUACCCCUAAUUCUACUGUCGGACACUUGUCCAUUUUUACCUCUUGUCUCACUUUUCUUUUCUUUCGAGGUUCCGAGCACUUGCUCCUUUUUAUUUCCUUGUUUUUUCAGAGCACUCAUCUCUUGAAAUAAUGUAGCAAGUGGUAGUAACAAGAUAACUUGAGCAUUUAUUUCACAAGGGAAAAACAAAAAUAUUUUUGGCUAUUCUCUCCCGGAUUAGGAGUAGAAUAUUUUUAGGUGAUUCUAGAGAUGGAAAUGAGUGGAUAUAUGUGGAUGGUACUUCCGGAGUAGAAGUAGCAUAUAUGAGUGAACAUGCAAGUGAAAACUUGAUUUAACCACAUGACAAGCUCCUAAGGGUCUACACAGCUUGACCACACUCAAUGCUCAUAAGCAGUAAAUAGUAAAUGUGUGGCUCAAAGUCUAGCAAGCAUGUAUAUAUGGCUGUGGUAGGAAUUUAAACUCUCAUCAUACAGGAACUCAUCAUGCAACAUUUUAAAGAUUUUCAAAGAUAAAAUUCACCAGAAUUCUAGCAUCUCUAGGAACAGAUAAACAGCAGCUCAACAUUCCCAUAUCGUAUCCGUUAACAACUUAGACUUCACAUCAAGUUUUCAUCCCACAAGUUUAGGUCUAGAGCAAGCUUUAAAUUAGAACAGUUAUGUCUAAACUUGAGAGAGAACUUAAAAUGUGCAAAUUAGGCAGAGCAACUAUUCAUCAUAUCCAUGCUAGAGUUUUAUUAUUAAGAUACAGAUUAGCAUAGCAACUUUAUUUAUUUAUUAAACACACUAAGCAAAAGAUAUAUAUAUAUAUAAGCAUAAAAUCUUUAUUUGGUUUUUCAUAGUUAUGUAUAUUUAUAUUUUAAUAUAGUAUAAGUAUAAAGAUAGAUAGAUAGAAAUACUUAUCGGGAUAAAUGGGGGUGUUCUCCCCCAAGCUGAAUUUUGACGUAAUUUCUCUUGAUGUAGCUAGCAGGCGGCAGAGGUGUAUUUGAAAGUCAGCAGCAUUCUGACAGCGAUUAGAAUGUCCUCCGUUUGCUAGUCUUCUUGAUUCUUAAAUUCUGUGGAGCUCAAAUAGACAACAAAGCUUGUGGAACUGGUUAAGUGUUAGCAUAAAUAUCUAGCCUUUAUCAUGUUGAGACUCCUUAAUAAUUAUUACUCCCUUAUUUUUAUAUUUUCGUUUUAUAAAGCAGAAAAGAAAUAUUUAUUUUAUUUUUAUGCCACCACAGUGAAUGUACUUAUGGAUUUUAUGCCACUCGUCUACUCACAUGGGGCUUACUGUUUUUCACAUUUUUAUUUUCUUUUUAGGAUAGCAUGAACAUGAUUAACUAAGUAAACUAGUUGAAAUAAUUGAAAGGGAAAGGAUAACUACCAAGUUUAACUCUUGGCAAGGCGUUCGGUGUUUUUAAGUCCUCUGAACGGGACUCUCCGUUUUCUCAAUUGUCCUGGGAUUCGUUGGGUGGCGUAGUCGGUACUUCCGGCAGCACCUCCUCUUCAUGUAUAGUUAUCUUCUCUUUCCAUACCUGACUCGGUGCUUCAGUCUCCUCUGGAUAAUUCUAUUUAAACUCUAUGUCUUCUGACCUUAUCACUUCUCCUUCAUAGUCUGCCCAUCCAUCCUUGAUGAUCUGCCUCCUCUGGUUACGGUUGCGUCGUUUUCUUACCUGCUUAGAUUCUUCAACGAUAUAGUUAGGGUCAGUAAAAUAACGGCGUACCUUCUCUGAGGGGAAGUGCAUAUGGACUUCUCCGGUUCUAAUGUAGAUAAUUGCUUUAACGGUGCUGAGGAACGGUCUUCCAAGGAUGAUGGGUGGAUCAUACUCGUCUUCUCCCAUGUCAAUAACUUGAAAGUCUGUGUAGACAAAGUGACCAUCUAUUUUGACUGGGACAUCAGUUACUAUUCCUUUAACUUCUCGAAAUGUCUGAUCUGCCAUCUAGAGCUGAAUGUAUGUUGGUUUUAAGGGCAUGGUUCCGAACAAGAGCCAAUAGGUGACUGCGGCCAUUAUGUUGACGCCCGAUCCGGUGUCACAAGUUGCCUUGUAGAAGUUGUAUCCAUUUAUGGAGCAGUAGAUGCUUGGCAUUCCUGGGUCGUCCUUCUUGGACAAAAGCGGUGACUUAAGUUGGUGAUCUUGGCCUCCAUGAACUACAGUGACCAUCUUAGCUGACUCGGUCCACACUUGCUUGUUCCUGUUCCUCCUGUUAGUCCUCUUCCUUGACUCACGUUUGGAUUGAUCUGGGAUUUGUGUAGUCUUGUUCUUGAAGAAAAAUGUCUCCUUCCUCCCUUUCAUGUGGAAACUGAUCUUGGUAGCACUGGCGUAGAUGAUAGCUCCCGUGGUGUUCAAGAAUGGCCUCCCUAAGAUGAUAGGUGCUCUCUCAUCAUUACCGGUCUCUACCACUAAUAAGUCGGCUAGAGCAUAUAAGGUACCAACUCAGACACAAAGGUUCUUCAAUAUUCCUUUUGGAAAAGUUAUCGUCUGAUCUGCAAACUGCAAACACAUGGUUGUCUCUAAUAAAGGAUAUGUAAAGAAUUUUUCAUAGAGUACCCUGGGUAUAAUGUUGACGGUAGAGCCAAAGUCGCAGAGUGCUUCUGGGACGUCCACCAUGCCGAUGGAGAUCGGGAUGAUGGGGCGUCCUGGAUCGCCUCUCUUGACCGGCAGAAGGUCAGUAGAGAAUUAAGUGACGGGGUUACUCCAAUUACCUGCAUCAAACAUGUCUACAAGAUUUGCAGAUUCUAAUCCUUCCGGUUGUGAUGGUAUACCGGGGUUAGUAGCAGGAACAGCAGCAACUAUUUGAUUUAACUGAGAUUCAAUCAUUUUAUUAAAGCUAAUUUGAUUCUUGAUGGGAGUAGAGAAAUUAUCCAUUCUAUUAUUUAUAUUUUCUAGCAUUUUAUCAUUAGAUGCCAAUUUUUUAGAUAGGUUAUCCAUUAGCUUUCCUUGAUUAGACACUAACUCUCUCAGAGGUGGAAAAUUAUUAUUAUUGUUGUAAGAAUUGUUACCUUGAUAAUUACCUGAGUAGUUAGGCCUGUGUUGAUUCCAACCUUGAUUUUGUUGAGGACGGUUGUAGUAGUAGUUGUUGUUGUUGAUGUAGUUCACAUCCUCAAGUAUCUCAGGGCAGUGAUUGCCUGAGUGUCCAGUGUCUCCACACUCCUCACAAGUCAUGUGAGAGUCGUAGAUGUGCAUAACUUCCUUCUUGUCUCCAGCUCUAUCAUCGAGCUUCUUCAUGAGCAGGUCUAGCUUUGUAGACAGCAUGUCUACCUCCUUCAGCUGAUGCAUACCUCCACCUCUCUUGCGUGUCUGGGUCCUCUCUCCAUUCCAGCCUUGAUUGGACGCCAUCUUCUCCACAAGAGCUGUGGCUUGUGGUAUAGUAGUGAUAAGAAUGCUCCUCCAGCUGCAUCAUCCAUGGUUUCUCGGGCACUGUUGCCGAGUCCAUGAUAAACGUCUGCAUCAAUAGCCAACUCUCCAUUCCAUGAUGGGGACAUUCUAGGAUGUAGUCUUGAAAGCGCUCCCAUGCUUCUGGAAUAGAUUCAUCAUUUUGUUGCUGAAAACUUGUAAUCUUCCCACGGAGAGCAUUGGUCUUGCCCAUGGGAAAGAACUUAGCCAGGAAGUUUGUUGAGCAGAGUGCCCACAUAGUAUUCUUCUCCUUUGUAGCGUAGAACCACUGCUUCGCACUUCCUCAUAGUGAGAAUGGGAAGAGGCGAAGUAGUAUAGCAUCUUUGGAAACUCCUGAUAUGGUGAAUGUGUUGCAAAUCUCCAGGAAGUGUUGUAAAUGAGCACUAGCAUCUUCGUGUGCCUUCCCACAGAACUGGUUGGAUUGCACCAUGUUGAUAAGUCCAGGCUUGAGCUCAAAGUUGCCAUCGAUCUCUGCAGCAGGUCUAGUGCGGAUGUUGUCCGUAGUGGGAGCUGAGAACUCACGGAUUGAUUUGUUCGCCAUGGCCUCGAACUCUAAAGUCAAGUUCCGGUGAUCUUCUUGAUUGGAUGAAUCUUCUUGCUGAAGUGUUGAUGAUCUCUUCUUGAGCUUGGCUCUUGUCUUCUUGAAUAAUGCUUCGGGAUUGUCAACAAAAUUUCCUGGAAGAUGUCUUCUAUUCAUACAUUCCCUGCAUAAGAUAAAAUAGAAAAAUAUCGGGGUAAAACUGUAUGAGAGAAUAGAUAAGCUCAAUCAUAUUAGUGAUGCGAAUGAUAACUCAAAAUCUUUUAUUCCAUUCCUGAUUAGUAAUCAACCUUCCCCAGCAACGGCGCCAAAAAUGCUUAUUGGGUAUUCUUAACAUCAUUACCAAAAGUAGACUAAGUUCUCUAAAUCUAGUAACGGUGCCAAAAAUGCCAAACCUAUCCCUCACACCACUUAAGCCAAGUUGUCAUCCCCAGCAUGACAUGAGAGAUGCGGUAUUGAAAUAUGCAAUUGCUCUUUUAAAUAAAUAAUGAAUGAGAUCUGCAAGCGCACAGAUUAAUACCGAUGUAGCAUUUUAACCGGGAAGUAUUCCAGGUAUCGUUAUUUAUAUUUUUACCACUGAGAAGGGAUUAACAAUCAUCAAUAUUGAUUACAGAAUAGAAUAUGAGAUUGAGUAUCUAUCAUUGCAUGUAUAAUUGAGAACAUUUAUCUAACUCUUCAUACAAGGAUAAGUGUCACAUAAAAGAUAUAUGAAAUAAUGAAUAGUGACAAAGAUAAUUAAUCUGAUCAGCCACAUAUAAAUAUGAUAAGCACCUCAAUUAGAUACUCUAGAAAGUCAUUAGCACGGUAUUAGAACGAACUACAAGAAUAUUCCCUAAGUUAUUCUCAACUAUAUAGUCUAGUACAUCAUAGUUAGUGCAAGCAUACUUAGCAAUCAUUGCGAGACAAGACUACGCCCAUGCAUAGUGAUAUUAGCAAGGUAAAUGAGAAACAUAGCAAUCACUACCCUGUAAUAAUAUUGCUCUACCAGCCCAAUACACGAGAGGGGGACUAUAUAAGAAUCAAUGAAGCUGUCACUAUCACCAACUACCCCACGAUCUGGCAUAUUGCGUACAAUCAUAGAUAAAUACGGUAUAAGCACCACGCCUACCCAAUAUCUAUCAUUUACCCAUGGAUCCGAUGGAUAAAUGCUAUACGAUCCUAAGCAUGUAUAUAAAUCCAAUCUAACUAAGCCAAGUACAUAACUAUGAUAAACUAAAAACAAUAUAAUCUUCAAUAUAAGCAAGUAGAGCAAAGUCAUAAGCAAUAUAUUGAAGUAGAACAAAGUCAUAUUCAUAAUAUUGAAGAACAAAGAUAAUUAGAAAUUAAUUAGAAGCACAAUUAGAGAAUUACCAAGAAUCCUCUUGACAGAUCCGGAAACCAAUCGAAGAUUGACUCCUUCUAGUUCUAAUCCUAUGUAGCUAUGCUAAUCUAGAUAUCUAAUUGAUGUGGUGGCUCUAAUCUUGAUCAGAGGCUUCUUCUCCCUUGAAGAACAAUGAAUUAGGGUUGAGAGGCUCUCUCCUCUAGGGGCUAGGGGGUAUGGUUUUAUAGUCCCUUCAAGUGAAUAUGGGCUGUUGGAUCAAACCGACAUAGAUUGUAUGGUUUAGAUUCAUCCUUUAGGUCGGUGAAGAUCUCUGUAACAUCCCUGAUGUUACGGUUACUAAAAACGGAUCAUGUCAUCAUGAGCAUUGCAAAUCAUAAUUGUUAAAGCACAUUAGUAUGCAUCAACUUAAAAUAAGUUUACUUUGAGUGCUUGUGCUUAGGGAAUUAAAGUGUGCUUGCAUUGUGUUGGAUGCUAAAACCCUAGGGUGAAAGAUUUCCGAAAGAUUAGGGGGCCGGAAAACCCUGAUUUUUGAAUCCUAGAUUUGCCCCUUUUUGUAUAAUUCAAAAACUAAGCAAAAUUUGAGGUUGAGUUCAAAAGCAAAGUUGUAGAUCUUGGCAAGAUGUACAACUUUGGUGUUUUGAGUUUUUGAAGUUUCAAUGCAAAAUUCAAAGUAAUUUUGAAAAUACAGAUUUCCAGAAAGUGUCCCCUUUUCCAACUUAAACCUCCAAUUCAAAAUCCAUUUGGAAUUUUGAAAAGUGGUCAACAUGAAAGUUGUAGAGCACAAAAAGUUGAGCAACUUUCAUGUUGGGAGUUUUUCAAGUUGUUAUACAAAAUCAAAAGUAAUUUUGGAAAUUCUGUUUUGCCCCAAUUCAAAAAUUUGGAAUUUCUUUGAUUUGAGUUUGAUUUUCAAAAUGUUUGGCCAAAUUCACCCUGUUACACUCAAAAUCAGCUCUGGUCACCAAAACAUGUUUUGUAGCUUAUAAAAUUUGGAACAACUUUUGUUUUGACACAAAUUUGACUCCAGUUCAAAUUUCGGCUGAAUUUCACAAAGUCCAGAAAAGAGGGGAUAAGGGUUGCUACAGUGACCCGAUAGGGAUCACCGGCUCCCUGUCCAGCGCGGCCGCCGUGCGCGCAGGCACGCAGCCUGCCUGCCUGCUAGCGUCGCCAGGCGACGUGGACGCCCCAGGCUCGUUCCCUUCUCCCCUUUGAGCACCAGCGUGGGCGCCGCCGCGCGUUUCCUCCGUCCUGAGCCAGAGAACCCCGACGAGCUCCCCUCUUCAAUUCGCCAUAACCACUCCUUCCCAAGCCAAAUUGAGCAACCCAGCGUCUUCGUCACCUUCGUGCGGACCCAGUGCACCCCCAAGCUCCCUCUCUAACCCACCCAGUCGCCAGAACUUCUCUGCUCUUCUCCAACUCCGGCCGAGACCGCCGCCGCGGAGCUCUUCCCGUGGCCACGGUGUUCCAGUGAGUAUCACACCCCGCUGGCGACUGUUUCAAGUCCCUUCCGUGCCCCGGUUGCUCAUGCUCUCGCUCCUUCUCCUUGAAUGUGAGCAGGAUCGCCGGAACAAGCUUGCCGGAGCCAGAGCUCCCGCCCGACGACACUGCUUCCGUCGCCAGCGGCUUCAGCUGCUUCUCCGAGCCUUGCAGCGUGAGCACCACCCUCCCCAACCCCUAUGGAAGCUCGCUCGGCCGUCGGCUUGCACUCUAUCGGGCCCUAGCGGCCGGCCGAGGGUCGGCCAUGGCGGCUGCCCGCCCUUCUCGUGACCGAGGUGGAAAAGUAGGGUAGAGCGUGGGUAGGGGGUGUCCACAGGGUCGCGGAGUUGAAGCGAAGCCGAUGCGCACGCGCACUCCGGCCGAAACCCUCGCCAACGGCGGCCGGAGCCGUGGCCGAACCGCCGUGCGUGGUGAGGACGCAGCUGACGGGUGGGGUCGCCCCGUCAGCGUCCCGCAGAGAGAGAGGGCCUGACGAGCGGGACCCGCUCGUCAGUGACCGCUCAGAGAGAGAGGGGCAGCGCGCGCAGCGCGGUUGUGGGCCGAGCGCGCAUGGGCCGGCCUGCAGGCCGAUUUCCCGGCCACUCGCUGCACAGUACUGUUUUUCUUUUUCUUUUUAUGCAGUUUUUGAGUUAUGUUUGAAAUUGUGUAAUAAUUCGUGUGCUAAUCCAAAAAUCGUGGAAAUUUUUGUGUAGGCUCUCUGAAGUAAGUAGAACCCAAGAAAAAUAUUAAGUUCUGUUUUCUGGUAGUUUACAUGUCUGUAAAAAAUUUGCCCUUUUAAUUAGCAAAUAAAACUUGUAUGAAUUUUAAUAAUUUAAUUGUAUGUCCAAAAAUCACCAAAAAUUGUGGGGAGCCUCUGAAUAUUAUUCCCUGGCUCCACCUAAAAUUUGGUGGCAUUUGGAUAAGGUUUGGUUAAAAUGUUAAUAAACUCUUAUUUAGUAUUUAAUUAAUCAUUCCAAAAUAAGUAAAUAGUGAUUAACUAAAUCCUCCUAAUUAGGGUUGAGUGAUUUUGGGAUUGUGUGAUGACCUGAGGUCAUUAACUCUAAUGACCUCUGGCAGUUAAUUAUUGUUUAGCCUUAAUGCUUAAUUACUGUCAUUAGUAAUUAAUUAAGAAUUAAUUAAGGUAAAUAGGAUUAAUAAUUAGUUAAUUUAAAAUCAUUAUGAAUUGAGUAAAGUCUUAGUUUACAGAUGCAACCUCUUGGGUAAAAAUAUUAAGUUAUUAAACAACUUUAUUUAGUGACAAUUCUGUAUUGCAUUAAAAAGGCAAAUCGUACUUAAUUCGGUCCAUCUUGCAUAAUUGCCAUACGCAUAUCAUAAGCAUUCAUCAUCUUGCGUAUAGCGUCCGUGACCGAAGGAGCGCCCGUUGAACCGAACCCCGAGGUCGGUGCUCCGUUCGAGGAAGUCGGAUCCGAGACUUGGGAAGUCUCCGAGGGUCCCUCUCUGCCCUGCAACCAAGGCAAGCCCCGGAUGCAUUAACCCCUCCUUGGAUGUUUUAAAUCUUUUAUCACUUAUGAAUUGAAAAUGCUGCAUUAGGUAGAUGAGAAUUGGGUUAACCUACUUGCUGCAUUUACUACCUUGAUAUCGGUAUCCUGUCCUUGACACCUGUUUUAUUUUAAAACUGCGUAGCGAUGCUUAGCCCUGCUACUAGAUAGGUUUUCAACAAGAAAGUUUGAAGGGUUGUUGUGGGAUACACUUAUGGUCAAUGAUGUUUCAACUUGAGACCGGUCGGUGGACUUGCUUUAAGAAUGGAGUCUUAAAGUAGUGUCUCCAACUGUGUCGGUUAAGGACCGGUCCGUUGAUGGCCUGCUGGGUUGAGAAUUUAUAGUACUAGCCACUUGCCUACGGUAAGCCCAGUCUUGUGAUCCCUCGACGCGAACAGCUACUCGCGCACUGGGAGUGGAAAGAUGGCGAGAGUAGUGUGUACCCACCUUACGGAUCUGAGAUGACCGGAAAACAUCUAGAUCGGCUGUAGGAUGGUGGAGUACUGUGCUCUCGGGUGCCGCGAACCUGGUCAAAUUUGGGGAGAGCUUGAUUUGGGUUGAUAUAUGCAAGAUUUGGUUCUACAUAUGUCGGGUGGUUAGGAACUCCAGCUGGAUUGCUAAGCGAUUCGAAUCGUCGUUGCUCCCCGAUUGGGAGACUCAAUUCCUUCGACCCUCAUCGUAGUUAAAUAUGCAACUAAGUGAUAAAAUGAGAAAAGGGAAAAUGUCUCAUGAGGUUCGGAUCCCAAUUCCCGGACUCAUAGCGACAUGAAGCUAUGACCAUCGAUAAAUAACACUUAAUGAUAGGACUAGGGACUCACGGAUUCGUUUGUGAGGUGCAACUAGUUAGACUAUCCUCGAAUUCCUCUGCCUCUGCGAGGAAGGAAUUCAGGGUAAAACUUGAAAAUAAGGAUGCACUACUAGUAAGCUUUUACGCAAAACACUUUGGCUCCUUGCUCAGCCACCCCUUGUCUACCCUAAGCCUGCAUCCCUAAAUACUCCUCUUUUCCCGUCGGAUAAGCCUUGUUGAGUACUCCCGUACUCAGGGUUUCAAUACCCCUGUUGCAGGUGAAGCUCAGGAGCCGACUUGUUUCGGACCCUGUUGUGUGACCGUCGUCGAGGUUGACGACGAAGAAGAGUGAGCGUGACCCAUGGGCAGGGUCUGUAAGUUUGUUUUGUCCCUGCUAAAGUUUCAGUUGCUCCGCUGGACCAGGCUUGUAAUAACACUAUACUAUUUGGAAGAACUCCUUUUGUAAAUUAAGUUAUGUAAUACUUCCGCUGUUUCACUCUGAAAUAUUAUUUUGGUCUGUGUUGUUGAGUUACUGCUUUAUCUUCGCAACGAAUGAUCCUGGUGUUAAGGUGGCCACUUGCUAUCCUGUAAGGGCGAGAAGAAACAGUUCUCGUUGUUUGACCAUUAUCAGUGGUCAGGACGAGUCAGCUUGGUACGCCACAGAUAGCAGUGGUAUGAGCGCCCAGCAAGGCUCAUCGGACUUCUAAAGUGGGAGGACUCCCGGCAUCACCGUCAGAGGUCCUUAGGACAAUGGCAGGUGUCGGUGGGCCCAAACACUUAGGAGGUUCUGCCACAGCUGGUAUCAGAGCGUUCGUUGCUAAGAUGACUGCUGAAACUUUGAAAAACUUCAAAAAUUCGUUUGGAACUAAUAUUAUGAACUUGCCUAUUUUGAGUCCAAGUGCUUAGUCCUAAUCUACCCCUGUCUAUAGGCUUUCUUAGAAUUUUUUUGAAGUGGUUUGGAGGAGCAACCUAAAGUAUUGCCCUAUGUUGUAAAAGUUUAAAGUAAUAUCGUUACGAAUUGUUAGUAGGAAUCGUAAGUUCGUGCAUGCAUCAUAAUGUAUUAACUGGUUAAGUUCCUUCCUCCUUGUUUGGGUUGGGUGAAUAGAAUCAAUCCUAUUCUUGCUAACCUUUAAGGUCUCUCUUACUCAUCUAAACUUACCCUCUACAGGAUGGCUCGUCAGAAGCAGACCCCGCGUAAGCGGACCGGUCCAAAAGGAGUUCCCCGACAUCAGCUAGCUCCACGCAGUGAUCAAGCCAGUAGUAGCCGUACACCGCCUCAGCAGGAGGUGGACAGAUUGUCCGCCGAGUUGACUGAGGUGAUGAGAGAGAGAAUGUACAAUGUUAUGGAGAUUGGCAAACUCAAAGCUCAACUGGCCAAAGAAAAACAAGCUACAGAAAAUUGUGAAGCUAUGUUGUCCCGGAUGGUGGAGGAGCGGAAUGCAGCCAUUGCCCAAGAGGAAGAAGCUAGGAGCACCCAUAGGCAUGAGCUAACUAGGAUGAACGCAAAGUUGGGCAAGGCAAAGUAUCUUAAGGAUUUGUAUGUGAAGAUGGCGGCCACGGUCACCGCACAACGGGAUGUCGCGUGGCAACGAGAGGACCAGCUCCAGCUGGAGAAACUGGAGCUGGCAUAUCACUUAGAUACAGUCAAUGAUCUGGCUAUGCAAUAUCGUGAUAUUGCAUUUGAUCUGUAUCAUCAACUCCACCCACCUCCCGGCGAAGGAGAAAUGGAUACGGAUGGCGAGUUGGCAGACGAUGGAGAACCCGAUCCCGGCCUCAGUGGUGAAGAGGAGUCCGACCCCGAUGACCACAACCCAGGGGGUAAUCAAGAUGAUGGCAACGACGACCCGGGCUACAGCUCUGGCCACACCGAUUAGCUCGGUGAAACCAAGGGCAACGUCGUUGUAGGGGUCUUAGCUUGCCGUAGUGGGGUUCGGGUUUGUAAUAUAAGUUCUCUUUUGGGUUGAAAAGUUGUACUUGUUUACUCUUGGUGUGUAUCUAACUAAUGUUUAAUAAGUGAAUGUAAGAUAUGUUCUGUGUUAUGAAUUCUACGUGGUAACAGGUAUCUACGAUUCUUGUAACAGAUGCCGAUGCGUACUCGCGGAUCCGAUGGAGCUGGGACAUCCCAGGGGGGGGAUGACAUCCCCAACCCUCCACCUGCUCCACCUUCUUUGGCUGACGCCAUUGCUGUCUUGCUAAGUGCCACAACUGACAACGCUCGCUUGCUGCGCGAGCUAGCACAGCGUCAAACACACCCUGCUUCAAACUUCAGGGCACCGCGCAACGGGGACGGAGAGACUCGGUAUGUAGAUUUUACCGAGACCAGGCCCCCAGUGUUCACUAAGGCCGAUGAGCCUUUAGAAGCGGAUGACUGGCUCCGGACUAUGGAGCAUAAGUUCAGUUUAAUUCAGUGUUCAGAAACUCAGAAACCCUUAUUUGCAGCCCAGCAGCUUCGGGGAGCUGCAGGUGCCUGGUGGGAGAACUUCUUAGCUAUUCAAGCUCCCGGACACCAAGUUACCUGGACCGAGUUUAGGGACGCGUUCCGCGCCCACUACAUCCCCGAAGGGCUCAUGGCCAUGAAGGCCGAAGAGUUUCUCGCCUUGCAGCAAGGCGACAAAAGUGUUAUGGAAUACGUGGCAAGGUUUAAUCAUCUUUCUCAGUAUGCCACGGAUCAUGUGAACACUGACAGAAAGAGGAAAGCCUGUUUCAUGCGUGGUCUAAAUACUAAACUUCAGACCAUGAUGACCACAUGCCAAAAUGCUACUUUCUAUGAGGCGGUAAAUAUUGCUAUCGCCUCAGAGGAAAAGAAUAGGAAACAUAAGGAAGCCAAGAAGAAGGCUGCUUCCUCUUCUUUCUCUGGUCGCGGUCAAAAGCGCCAGAGGAUCGUUUAUCAUCCACAGGGCCACGGACGUUUCCAAACGCCGUUACCUUAUCGUGGUCCUUUCUCCCCUCCACAGUACAGACCUGGGCAGCAGGUAUAUUCUCGACCUACUGCCAUCGCUUUUGCACCACGCCAGCCGAACGCCCCGGGUGUUCGCCCUACUGCUCCGCCCAGCCACAAUUACCCUUGCUUCAAUUGUGGUAAACCUGGGCAUUUCUCUAAAGAGUGCCCUUUUCCUCGUCAAACCAACCCUACCUUUCCCAGGCCACCUAUGGGCCAACCCCAGUCGGGUCAGUUCAGAACUGGAGUUCAAAAAGGGCAACAGGUACAGAAAGGUAGACCGGUAAAGAAGACAGGGCAAGUCUUCCAUACUGAAGUGGAGACAAUUCCAGAGGGUGAACCAGUGAUGAUGGGUACGUUUCCUGUUGCGAAGCAUCCUGCUUUAAUGCUCUUUGAUUCUGGUGCAUCCCAUACAUUUAUCAAUCGCACCUUUGUGUUAAAGCAUGGCAUACCCAUUGGGGAAACACAAGAUCAUUUUUAUAUACAGUCGCCAGGAGGACGGCUGAUGUCUAAAGAAAUGGUUCACCAAGUACCCAUCGAAUUUGGUGGGCACAAUUUUCCUACUAGCAUGAUUGUUCUUAAGGACCAAGAAAUUGAUGUUAUCUUAGGCAUGAACUGGAUGGCGCAACGAGGGGUUGUGCUAGACACUUUGCACCGAACCAUUAAAAUCCCAUUGCCCAAUGAGAAUUCUUACUUGCUAAUCCAAUUAGUUACUCCCAAACGGACAACUGGGCAAGUUCAUGCCGCUAAUGUGUCUGAAGUUAAAGAUAUCCCGGUAGUUCGAGAUUUCCCGGAUGUAUUUCCUGAAGACUUACCAGGUCUGCCUCCGGACCGGGAUGUACAAUUCAGUAUAGAAUUGAAACCGGGAACGGCCCCAAUAUCUCGAAGGGCCUACAGAAUUGCACCGAAAGAGCUGGACGAAUUAAAGACCCAAUUACAAGAAUUGUUGCAGAAGGGUUUUAUUCAGCCCAGUUCUUCUCCAUGGGGUUGCCCAGCCUUGUUUGUGAAAAAGAAAGAUCAGACAUUAAGGCUGUGCGUCGACUAUCGUCCUCUAAAUGAGGUAACGAUUAAAAACAAGUACCCAUUGCCCCGCAUUGACUUACUGUUUGACCAGCUAGCUGGGGCCAAAGUGUUCUCAAAAAUUGAUUUGAGAUCAGGGUACCAUCAAAUUAAAAUUAGGCCGGAAGAUGUACCCAAGACUGCUUUCACAACCCGUUACGGGUUGUAUGAAUACUUGGUGAUGUCUUUUGGGUUGACUAACGCACCGGCCCAUUUUAUGUACCUGAUGAACUCUGUCUUCAUGCCAGAACUAGACAAAUUUGUGGUCGUCUUCAUCGAUGACAUCUUGAUUUACUCCAAAACUAAGAAGGAACAUGCUGAACACUUGAGAAUCGUGCUGGCCCGUCUCAGGGAGCACCAGCUAUAUGCCAAGUUCAGCAAAUGUGAGUUCUGGCUGGACGAAGUUCAUUUCCUGGGUCAUGUAUUAUCAGCGGAAGGAGUCGCGGUAGACCCAGGCAAGGUAGAAGAUGUGUUGAAGUGGAAACCCCCGACUACGGUACAUGAGGUCCGUAGUUUUCUGGGCAUGGCGGGAUAUUACCGUCGUUUUAUCCCGGACUUUUCCAGAGUCGCCAAACCAAUCACAACCUUGCUCAAAAGUCAAACAAAAUUUGUUUGGUCACCCCAAUGUGAGCAAGCUUUUCAGACUCUGAAAAGGUUGUUGACAACUGCACCUGUCUUAGCCCAGCCAGAUAUUGAAAAACCCUUUGAUGUAUAUUGUGACGCAUCCGGAAUCGGGUUAGGCUGUGUGCUGAUGCAGGAGGGUCGCGUAAUUGCAUAUGCUUCCAGGCAACUCAAACCUCAUGAAGAGAAUUACCCGACCCAUGAUCUCGAACUAGCCGCCGUGGUACAUGCAUUAAAGAUCUGGCGUCAUUAUUUGUUGGGAAACACAUGUCAUCUAUAUACAGAUCACAAAAGCUUGAAAUAUAUCUUUACUCAAGCUGAGCUUAAUAUGCGCCAGCGGAGGUGGCUAGAACUAAUUAAAGAUUACGACCUUGAGGUGCAUUAUCACCCUGGCAAGGCAAAUGUAGUAGCGGAUGCCCUCAGUCGUAAGGCUCACUGUAAUUGCUUAACAGUGAAGCCUAGGGAUAUAACUUUGUGCCAAGAGCUAGAGAACUUGGGAAUAGAAAUGAUUUCCCAAGGAAGCCUUUCCAAUUUAAAGAUUGAUUUCAAUCUCGAGGCUCAAAUCAUAAAGGCACAAAAAGAAAACAAGGGCAUGAGACAUCUUAAAGAGAAGAUUUCUAAUAGAGCACUCACAGACUUUAAGGUGGAUGAGGCGGGAGUAAUCUGGUUCAAGAACCGGUUAGUGGUUCCAAAGGUACCUGAGCUACGUCAGCAAAUCCUAGAUGAAGCUCAUACCACGAGGUAUUCUAUUCAUCCGGGAAGCAAUAAGAUGUAUCAGGACCUGAAGCAAAGGUUUUGGUGGACAAAAAUGAAGAUAGAAAUAGCUCGCUAUGUGGCCCAAUGUGACACCUGUCGAAAGGUCAAAGCCAUUCAUCUCAAAUCCGCUGGGGAGUUGCAACCUUUGCCUAUCCCCGCAUGGAAAUGGGAUGACAUAAGUAUGGAUUUCAUAGUAGGAUUGCCCAAAACGGCCAAGGGCUUUGAUUCCAUUUGGGUCAUAGUAGAUCGUCUCACCAAAACAACACAUUUUCUGCCGGUGAAGCUAUUGUAUCCUGCCUCCACCUAUGCUAAGAUUUAUUUUGACCGUAUUCUAAGUCUGCAUGGAGUGCCAAAGACAAUAGUGUCGGAUAGAGGCACACAAUUUGUCUCCCAAUUCUGGAAAUGUUUACAUGAGUCCCUGGGCACUAAGCUUUUAUACAGCACAGCCUACCACCCUCAAACUGGUGGGCAAACCGAAAGGGUGAAUCAAACCCUAGAAGAUCUAUUAAGAUCUUGUGCCCUGAAUUUUCCAGAUAAGUGGGAUGACUGCUUGCCUCUAGCAGAAUUUUCCUACAAUAAUAGCUAUCAAGAGAGUAUCAAAAUGGCUCCCUUUGAGGCACUGUAUGGUCGCCGAUGUCGAACUCCGUUACACUGGUCAGAACCUGGAGAAAGAUGGUUCUUCGGAGUUGACUUAGUGAAAGAGACUGAGAACAAAGUGAAACAAAUCCAAAAUAACUUGAAAGUUGCUCAGUCCCGACAGAAAAGUUACGCUGAUAAAAGACGUCGACCAUUGAAGUUCGCCAAAGGUGAUCAUGUGUAUUUGAAAGUAUCCCCAAUGAAAGGAGUAAAUCGUUUUGGUGUUAAAGGCAAGUUAGCGCCUCGUUACAUUGGUCCAUUUCCAAUUAUUGACCGAUGUGGGCAAGUCGCUUACCGCCUUAAACUGCCCGAACGAUUAUCCGGGGUACAUAAUGUGUUCCAUGUGUCUCAACUGAAAAAGUGUCUUCGGGUACCAGAUCGAGUUCAAGAUAUUGAAGAUGUAAAGCUUGAACCAGAUCUAACUUAUUCGGAAUAUCCUAUCCAAGUACUGGAUCAAAAAGCUAGAGUUACCCGAAGGACAACCACUAAAUGGUACAAAGUACAAUGGAGCCAGCACUCUGAGGAAGAAGCCACAUGGGAAUCUGAAGAUUACUUGUUAGAGAAUUUUCCUGAAUUCUAUGCUUCUCUUCAGGACAAUAUAUGAUAACCAGAGAAUGUACUCCAGUGAAGAAACAGAGUCGCCAAAGCCAUGUACUUAAUGUACAUAUAUGCAUAUAAUGAAGUAUUUUCCCCAAUUCCUUGCCUUAUGGAAAAGUUGAAGAUGAAAGAGUUUUGACAAAUUUCCUUUUCCAUUACUUACCCUAAGGUUUUAAAUCUCGGGGACGAGAUUUCUUUAAGGGGGAAGGGCUGUAACAUCCCUGAUGUUACGGUUACUAAAAACGGAUCAUGUCAUCAUGAGCAUUGCAAAUCAUAAUUGUUAAAGCACAUUAGUAUGCAUCAACUUAAAAUAAGUUUACUUUGAGUGCUUGUGCUUAGGGAAUUAAAGUGUGCUUGCAUUGUGUUGGAUGCUAAAACCCUAGGGUGAAAGAUUUCCGAAAGAUUAGGGGGCCGGAAAACCCUGAUUUUUGAAUCCUAGAUUUGCCCCUUUUUGUAUAAUUCAAAAACUAAGCAAAAUUUGAGGUUGAGUUCAAAAGCAAAGUUGUAGAUCUUGGCAAGAUGUACAACUUUGGUGUUUUGAGUUUUUGAAGUUUCAAUGCAAAAUUCAAAGUAAUUUUGAAAAUACAGAUUUCCAGAAAGUGUCCCCUUUUCCAACUUAAACCUCCAAUUCAAAAUCCAUUUGGAAUUUUGAAAAGUGGUCAACAUGAAAGUUGUAGAGCACAAAAAGUUGAGCAACUUUCAUGUUGGGAGUUUUUCAAGUUGUUAUACAAAAUCAAAAGUAAUUUUGGAAAUUCUGUUUUGCCCCAAUUCAAAAAUUUGGAAUUUCUUUGAUUUGAGUUUGAUUUUCAAACUGUUUGGCCAAAUUCACCCUGUUACACUCAAAAUCAGCUCUGGUCACCAAAACAUGUUUUGUAGCUUAUAAAAUUUGGAACAACUUUUGUUUUGACACAAAUUUGACUCCAGUUCAAAUUUCGGCUGAAUUUCACAAAAUCCAGAAAAGAGGGGAUAAGGGUUGCUACAGUGACCCGAUAGGGAUCACCGGCUCCCUGUCCAGCGCGGCCGCCGUGCGCGCAGCGCCGCGUGCGCGCGCGCAGGCACGCAGCUGCUUGCUGCCAGGGUCGCCAGGCGACGUGGACGCCCCAGGCUCGUUCCCUUCUCCCCUUUGAGCACCAGCGUGGGCGCCGCCGCGCGUUUCCUCCGUCCUGAGCCAGAGAACCCCGACGAGCUCCCCUCUUCAAUUCGCCAUAACCACUCCUUCCCGAGCCAAAUUGAGCAACCCAGCGUCUUCGUCACCUUCGUGCGGACCCAGUGCACCCCCAAGCUCCCUCUCUAACCCACCCAGUCGCCAGAACUUCUCUGCUCUUCUCCAACUCCGGCCGAGACCGCCGCCGCGGAGCUCUUCCCGUGGCCACGGUGUUCCAGUGAGUAUCACACCCCGCUGGCGACUGUUUCAAGUCCCUUCCGUGCCCCGGUUGCUCAUGCUCUCGCUCCUUCUCCUUGAAUGUGAGCAGGAUCGCCGGAACAAGCUUGCCGGAGCCAGAGCUCCCGCCCGACGACACUGCUUCCGUCGCCAGCGGCUUCAGCUGCUUCUCCGAGCCUUGCAGCGUGAGCACCACCCUCCCCAACCCCUAUGGAAGCUCGCUCGGCCGUCGGCUUGCACUCUAUCGGGCCCUAGCGGCCGGCCGAGGGUCGGCCAUGGCGGCUGCCCGCCCUUCUCGUGACCGAGGUGGAAAAGUAGGGUAGAGCGUGGGUAGGGGGUGUCCACAGGGUCGCGGAGUUGAAGCGAAGCCGAUGCGCACGCGCACUCCGGCCGAAACCCUCGCCAACGGCGGCCGGAGCCGUGGCCGAACCGCCGUGCGCGGUGAGGACGCAGCUGACGGGUGGGGUCGCCCCGUCAGCGUCCCGCAGAGAGAGAGGGCCUGACGAGCGGGACCCGCUCGUCAGUGACCGCUCAGAGAGAGAGGGGCAGCGCGCGCAGCGCGGUUGUGGGCCGAGCGCGCAUGGGCCGGCCUGCAGGCCGAUUUCCCGGCCACUCGCUGCACAGUACUGUUUUUCUUUUUCUUUUUAUGCAGUUUUUGAGUUAUGUUUGAAAUUGUGUAAUAAUUCGUGUGCUAAUCCAAAAAUCGUGGAAAUUUUUGUGUAGGCUCUCUGAAGUAAGUAGAACCCAAGAAAAAUAUUAAGUUCUGUUUUCUGGUAGUUUACAUGUCUGUAAAAAAUUUGCCCUUUUAAUUAGCAAAUAAAACUUGUAUGAAUUUUAAUAAUUUAAUUGUAUGUCCAAAAAUCACCAAAAAUUGUGGGGAGCCUCUGAAUAUUAUUCCCUGGCUCCACCUAAAAUUUGGUGGCAUUUGGAUAAGGUUUGGUUAAAAUGUUAAUAAACUCUUAUUUAGUAUUUAAUUAAUCAUUCCAAAAUAAGUAAAUAGUGAUUAACUAAAUCCUCCUAAUUAGGGUUGAGUGAUUUUGGGAUUGUGUGAUGACCUGAGGUCAUUAACUCUAAUGACCUCUGGCAGUUAAUUAUUGUUUAGCCUUAAUGCUUAAUUACUGUCAUUAGUAAUUAAUUAAGAAUUAAUUAAGGUAAAUAGGAUUAAUAAUUAGUUAAUUUAAAAUCAUUAUGAAUUAAGUAAAGUCUUAGUUUACAGAUGCAACCUCUUGGGUAAAAAUAUUAAGUUAUUAAACAACUUUAUUUAGUGACAAUUCUGUAUUGCAUUAAAAAGGCAAAUCGUACUUAAUUCGGUCCAUCUUGCAUAAUUGCCAUACGCAUAUCAUAAGCAUUCAUCAUCUUGCGUAUAGCGUCCGUGACCGAAGGAGCGCCCGUUGAACCGAACCCCGAGGUCGGUGCUCCGUUCGAGGAAGUCGGAUCCGAGACUUGGGAAGUCUCCGAGGGUCCCUCUCUGCCCUGCAACCAAGGCAAGCCCCGGAUGCAUUAACCCCUCCUUGGAUGUUUUAAAUCUUUUAUCACUUAUGAAUUGAAAAUGCUGCAUUAGGUAGAUGAGAAUUGGGUUAACCUACUUGCUGCAUUUACUACCUUGAUAUCGGUAUCCUGUCCUUGACACCUGUUUUAUUUUAAAACUGCGUAGCGAUGCUUAGCCCUGCUACUAGAUAGGUUUUCAACAAGAAAGUUUGAAGGGUUGUUGUGGGAUACACUUAUGGUCAAAGAUGUUUCAACUUGAGACCGGUCGGUGGACUUGCUUUAAGAAUGGAGUCUUAAAGUAGUGUCUCCAACUGUGUCGGUUAAGGACCGGUCCGUUGAUGGCCUGCUGGGUUGAGAAUUUAUAGUACUAGCCACUUGCCUACGGUAAGCCCAGUCUUGUGAUCCCUCGACGCGAACAGCUACUCGCGCACUGGGAGUGGAAAGAUGGCGAGAGUAGUGUGUACCCACCUUACGGAUCUGAGAUGACCGGAAAACAUCUAGAUCGGCUGUAGGAUGGUGGAGUACUGUGCUCUCGGGUGCCGCGAACCUGGUCAAAUUUGGGGAGAGCUUGAUUUGGGGUUGAUAUAUGCAAGAUUUGGUUCUACAUAUGUCGGGUGGUUAGGAACUCCAGCUGGAUUGCUAAGCGAUUCGAAUCGUCGUUGCUCCCCGAUUGGGAGACUCAAUUCCUUCGACCCUCAUCGUAGUUAAAUAUGCAACUAAGUGAUAAAAUGAGAAAAGGGAAAAUGUCUCAUGAGGUUCGGAUCCCAAUUCCCGGACUCAUAGCGACAUGAAGCUAUGACCAUCGAUAAAUAAUACUUUAUGAUAGGACUAGGGACUCACGGAUUCGUUUGUGAGGUGCAACUAGUUAGACUAUCCUCGAAUUCCUCUGCCUCUGCGAGGAAGGAAUUCAGGGUAAAACUUGAAAAUAAGGAUGCACUACUAGUAAGCUUUUACGCAAAACACUUUGGCUCCUUGCUCAGCCACCCCUUGUCUACCCUAAGCCUGCAUCCCUAAAUACUCCUCUUUUCCCGUCGGAUAAGCCUUGUUGAGUACUCCCGUACUCAGGGUUUCAAUACCCCUGUUGCAGGUGAAGCUCAGGAGCCGACUUGUUUCGGACCCUGUUGUGUGACCGUCGUCGAGGUUGACGACGAAGAAGAGUGAGCGUGACCCAUGGGCAGGGUCUGUAAGUUUGUUUUGUCCCUGCUAAAGUUUCAGUUGCUCCGCUGGACCAGGCUUGUAAUAACACUAUACUAUUUGGAAGAACUCCUUUUGUAAAUUAAGUUAUGUAAUACUUCCGCUGUUUCACUCUGAAAUAUUAUUUUGGUCUGUGUUGUUGAGUUACUGCUUUAUCUUCGCAACGAAUGAUCCUGGUGUUAAGGUGGCCACUUGCUAUCCUGUAAGGGCGAGAAGAAACAGUUCUCGUUGUUUGACCAUUAUCAGUGGUCAGGACGAGUCAGCUUGGUACGCCACAGGUAGCAGUGGAAUGAGCACACAGUAAGGCUCAUCGGACUUCUAAAGUGGGAGGACUCCCGGCAUCACCGUCAGAGGUCCUUAGGACAAUGGCAGGUGUCGAUGGGCCCAAACACUUAGGAGGUUCUGCCACAAUCUCCCACGAAGCAGAGUCCUGAUUGGACUCAGGGAGGGGGCGGGCGCCCAGGGGAACAGGGCGGGCGCCCUGCCUCUGGCCCCGUUUCGCCUUCGCUUUGGUCUCGUGGCUUCUGGAGUCUUCUAGAUGUAAGAUAAUUGCGUGGUACGUUAAUAUCUCUAUGUAAUCCCGACGUGUGGUCCUUUCUUCCGUAUUUCCUGAUAACCCCCUGCAGAAAUAGACAAACACCAAAACUCGUGGAAUUCUGUCAGAUAAAACCCUAAGUCUAGAUGUUGAUUUCAUUUGGAUCCUUUUCUUUGUUUAUUUGAUAAUUAAAUUUGAUACUUUGACCGUCAACACCCUCCCCCAAGCUUACCACUUGCUCGUCCCUGAGCAAAGAUAGACUCAGCUAUGGAUCAUAAGUUGUUGCAAUAUCUUUAAAAAUUGAUGGUUAUCAUGCUUUUAAAUAAGAUCUCAUCUCUGAGUUAGAGUAAACUGUCAAGACUUAAAACUUACUUACUUUACCUUUACCAUGGUACUUAUAACCGUCACUUCUAUCUUGAGUGGUUAAAAGAUAGAACAGUCUAGUCAAGUGCCAUGUCUCUUAUUCUUGAUCAGCUAUAGCUCUGAAGUUUUUGCUGAUUUUCAAAUAAAACUCAGAGAUUCCUUGUAUGAUUCUCUCAUAUCUCUCUUUUGUGGUAUUUUUGGAUCCUUACCAAGGCAGUAAUGGUAUAUGCCUUCUCUCAAGAUAUGUAGUAUUUGUGGUAUAAGGCAUAGUAACAUUGUCUUCUCUCUCACCCUAUUCUAAUAAGGCUUUAAUAUCUGGAUCUCAUAGGUGGGAGAUAAAAUAUACAUACUUACAUGACAUGUAUUGCAUAGUCAAACCAUGGAUCCAAAGAAACAAAUCAACAAGUCAAAUCAAGAUGUGCAUGUCUGGCGAAUGAAUGGUGUAUGGUGAUGAUGGUGAUAACAAUGGUGAAAACAAUGGUGAUGGAAGUCUAAUUCUUCUUUUGCUCUUUGGAGGGGAUACAUACCUUUCUUGCUUUUUGAAACUUUGUGAGGAGAAUGAGAUGCUCUAUAUUUUUUUCUUUUCUCUCAGGUGGGUAUCUUGUACCCCUAAUUCUACUGUCGGACACUUGUCCAUUUUUACCUCUCGUCUCACUUUUCUUUUCUUUCGAGGUUCCGAGCACUUGCUCCUUUUUAUUUCCUUGUUUUUUUUUCAGAGCACUCAUCUCUUGAAAUAAUGUAGCAAGUGGUAGUAACAAGAUAACUUGAGCAUUUAUUUCACAAGGGAAAAACAAAAAUAUUUUUGGCUAUUCUCUCCCGGAUUAGGAGUAGAAUAUUUUUAGGUGAUUCUGGAGAUGGAAAUGAGUGGAUAUAUGUGGAUGGUACUUCCGAAGUAGAAGUAGCAUAUAUGAGUGAACGUGCAAGUCAAAUCUUGAUUUAACCACAUGACAAGCUCCUAAGGGUCUACACAGCUUGACCACAUUCAAUGCUCAUAAGUAGUAAAUAGUAAAUGUGUGGCUCAAAGUCUAGCAAGCAUGUAUAUAUGGCUGUGGUAGGAAUUUAAACUCUCAUCAUACAUGAACUCAUCAUGAAACAUUUUAAAGAUUUUCAAAGAUAAAAUUCUCUAGAAUUCUAGCAUCUCUAGGAACAGAUAAACAGCAGCUCAACCUUCCCAUAUCGUAUCCGUUAAGACUUCAGAUCAAGUUUUCAUCCCACAAGUUUAGGUCUAGAGCGAGCUUUAAAUUAGAACAGUUAUGUCUAAACUUGAGAGAGAACUUAAAAUGUGCAAAUUAGGCAGAGCAACUAUUCAUCAUAUCCAUGC